RNAcentral lists this ribosomal RNA (491 nucleotides) under uncultured bacterium. RNAcentral describes it as "partial 16S ribosomal RNA". It matches the Rfam family "Bacterial small subunit ribosomal RNA", at positions 28 to 507 of the family's 1533-position model. The record is from RNAcentral.
GAUGAACGCUAGCUACAGGCUUAACACAUGCAAGUCGCGGGGCAGCAUGGGGGUUGCUUGCAACCCCUGAUGGCGACCGGCGCACGGGUGAGUAAUGCGUAUCCAACCUGCCCUUCACCACGGGAUAACCCGGCGAAAGUCGGACAAUUACCGUAAGUAGUCCAUUGAGGGCAUCCGAUUUGGUCGGACUGCGUGGGGGUGAAUGGGCGGGGAUGCGUCCGAUUAGCUGGAGGGGGGGGGACCGGCCCACCGGGGCUACGAUCGGUAGGGGGUGUGAGAGGAAGGCCCACUACACUGGAACUGAGACACGGUCCAGACUCCUACGGAAGGCAGCAGUGAGGGAUAUUGGUCGAUGGGCGUAAGCCUGAACCAGCCAAGUAGCGUGCAGGAGGACGGCGCUAUGGGUUGUAAUCUGCUUUGAUGCGGGGACAAAGUGGUCAACGUGUGGGCUUUUGAAGGUACCGAAUGAAUAAGGACCGGCUAAUUCCGUG